GACGAACCACACAAACGUUAUUCGGAAUUACUGGGCUUAAAGGGUGCGUAGGCGGCGCGGAAAGUUGGGUGUGAAAUCCCUCGGCUCAACCGAGGAACUGCGCCCAAAACUACCGUGCUCGAGGGAGAUAGAGGUGAGCGGAACUUAGGGUGGAGCGGUGAAAUGCGUUGAUAUCCUAAGGAACACCGGUGGCGAAAGCGGCUCACUGGGUCUCUUCUGACGCUGAGGCACGAAAGCUAGGGGAGCGAACGGG
Molecule: ribosomal RNA, 253 nt
Filed under: uncultured bacterium
Lineage: Bacteria
Description: partial 16S ribosomal RNA
Rfam family: Bacterial small subunit ribosomal RNA
Source: RNAcentral